AGAUGUGAGGGCAAUCUGGCUGGGACAUCUGUCACCCCACUGAUGGCCAGGGUUGAUUCCGCUGAUCUGGCUGGCUAGGUGGCCUCACAGCUCCACGUGUGACCCUGCUGACGUUGUGUGCUCAGCCGAAGAGGACAACCUCACAGACCUAGGGGGACCGUUUCCUUGGUCAAGGGCAUGGGAGCAGCUGCACUCCCCUGCUAGAAGCUCCAAAUAAGCUCUCCAGAAAACACAACUGAAUAGUGAAUGAAAUAACUUAACUUUACAGAUCCUAAGCUGUCCUGUGAUUACUAAAUUAGGUACAGUUUG
Molecule: small nuclear RNA, 309 nt
Filed under: Octodon degus (degu)
Lineage: Eukaryota; Metazoa; Chordata; Mammalia; Rodentia; Octodontidae
Description: 7SK RNA (ENSODEG00000023034.1)
Rfam family: 7SK RNA
About the family: 7SK was discovered as an abundant small nuclear RNA in the mid-70s but a possible function has only recently been suggested.
Source: Rfam by way of RNAcentral